GGGGGGAGGUCGGAUUCUUGGCUAUGUCCCCGGCGCCCUGUGCUCCUGGGCCUGUGCUGUUGGAUUCGUGCUCCUGGCCGGACAGCCCCCU
Molecule: microRNA precursor, 91 nt
Filed under: Canis lupus familiaris (dog)
Lineage: Eukaryota; Metazoa; Chordata; Mammalia; Carnivora; Canidae
Also listed under: 1 other name
Description: mir-8799 microRNA precursor family
Rfam family: mir-8799 microRNA precursor family
Source: Rfam by way of RNAcentral